Molecule: ribosomal RNA, 1372 nt
Filed under: uncultured bacterium
Lineage: Bacteria
Description: bacterial SSU rRNA
Rfam family: Bacterial small subunit ribosomal RNA
Source: RNAcentral
GAUGAACGCUGGCGGCGUGCCUAAUACAUGCAAGUCGAGCGAACGGACGAGAAGCUUGCUUCUCUGAUGUUAGCGGCGGACGGGUGAGUAACACGUGGAUAACCUACCUAUAAGACUGGGAUAACUUCGGGAAACCGGAGCUAAUACCGGAUAAUAUUUUGAACCGCAUGGUUCAAAAGUGAAAGACGGUCUUGCUGUCACUUAUAGAUGGAUCCGCGCUGCAUUAGCUAGUUGGUAAGGUAACGGCUUACCAAGGCAACGAUGCAUAGCCGACCUGAGAGGGUGAUCGGCCACACUGGAACUGAGACACGGUCCAGACUCCUACGGGAGGCAGCAGUAGGGAAUCUUCCGCAAUGGGCGAAAGCCUGACGGAGCAACGCCGCGUGAGUGAUGAAGGUCUUCGGAUCGUAAAACUCUGUUAUUAGGGAAGAACAUAUGUGUAAGUAACUGUGCACAUCUUGACGGUACCUAAUCAGAAAGCCACGGCUAACUACGUGCCAGCAGCCGCGGUAAUACGUAGGUGGCAAGCGUUAUCCGGAAUUAUUGGGCGUAAAGCGCGCGUAGGCGGUUUUUUAAGUCUGAUGUGAAAGCCCACGGCUCAACCGUGGAGGGUCAUUGGAAACUGGAAAACUUGAGUGCAGAAGAGGAAAGUGGAAUUCCAUGUGUAGCGGUGAAAUGCGCAGAGAUAUGGAGGAACACCAGUGGCGAAGGCGACUUUCUGGUCUGUAACUGACGCUGAUGUGCGAAAGCGUGGGGAUCAAACAGGAUUAGAUACCCUGGUAGUCCACGCCGUAAACGAUGAGUGCUAAGUGUUAGGGGGUUUCCGCCCCUUAGUGCUGCAGCUAACGCAUUAAGCACUCCGCCUGGGGAGUACGACCGCAAGGUUGAAACUCAAAGGAAUUGACGGGGACCCGCACAAGCGGUGGAGCAUGUGGUUCAAUUCGAAGCAACGCGAAGAACCUUACCAAAUCUUGACAUCCUUUGACAACUCUAGAGAUAGAGCUUUCCCCUUCGGGGGACAAAGUGACAGGUGGUGCAUGGUUGUCGUCAGCUCGUGUCGUGAGAUGUUGGGUUAAGUCCCGCAACGAGCGCAACCCUUAAGCUUAGUUGCCAUCAUUAAGUUGGGCACUCUAAGUUGACUGCCGGUGACAAACCGGAGGAAGGUGGGGAUGACGUCAAAUCAUCAUGCCCCUUAUGAUUUGGGCUACACACGUGCUACAAUGGACAAUACAAAGGGCAGCGAAACCGUGAGGUCAAGCAAAUCCCAUAAAGUUGUUCUCAGUUCGGAUUGUAGUCUGCAACUCGACUACAUGAAGCUGGAAUCGCUAGUAAUCGUAGAUCAGCAUGCUACGGUGAAUACGUUCCCGGGUCU